GAUACCAUUGACUGGCCCCCAUGCUCGCUUGACCUAAAUCCCAUUGAACACCUCUGGGACAUUAUGUUUUGGUCCAUGCAACGCCAGCAAGACCAAAUAACAAAGGCUUCCAAAUUUUGCACAAAUGUAGUAGACAUUACAUACAAAAGGAUACAGUCAUUAAUGUUCCACCAAAGAGGAACAUGAAGAUGAAAUCAGCUGUACGCCCUCUGAAGGACCCUUCCUCUAGCAUUCGGCAAUACCGGUAU
Long non-coding RNA from Erpetoichthys calabaricus (reedfish), 248 nucleotides. RefSeq lists it as uncharacterized. The transcript is spliced from 2 exons. The record is from RefSeq and is a predicted model, not a curated record. NCBI's taxonomy places the organism in Eukaryota, Metazoa, Chordata, Cladistia, Polypteriformes, Polypteridae.